AGACGAGGCUAUCGCCUCUCCUCAGCCCGAACGGCAUCGAAGUAAAUCAAGCUUCUUACCCAUAACUCGUG
Molecule: non-coding RNA, 71 nt
Filed under: Legionella shakespearei DSM 23087
Lineage: Bacteria; Pseudomonadati; Pseudomonadota; Gammaproteobacteria; Legionellales; Legionellaceae
Description: Legionella RNA 69
Rfam family: Legionella RNA 69
Source: Rfam by way of RNAcentral